AACGAACGCUGGCGGCGUGGCUAAGGCAUGCAAGUCGAACGGUCAUACUUUGAAGGCAACGGAUGAGUAUGAUAGUGGCGAACGGGUGAGGAAUACAUAGAUAACGUACCCUAGACUCAGGGAUAGCGGCGGGGAAACCCUUUGCGAAAGUGCCGGUAAUACCUGAUGACCCCGUAGGAUCGCAUGAUCCAGCGGGCAAAGCUCAGGCGGUCUGGGAUCGGUUUAUGCCCAUCAGCUAGUUGGUGAGGUAACGGCUCACCAAGGCUGCGACGGGUAUCGGGCGUGAGAGCGUGACCCGACACAUCGGAACUGAGACACGGUCCGGACACCUACGGGUGGCUGCAGCAACGAUAUUCCGCAAUGGGCGCAAGCCUGACGGAGCGACGCGCGUGCAGGAAGAAGUCCCUCGGGAUGUAAAGCCCUUUUGUCCGGGAAGAAAUCGCAAGGGUGAAUAGCCUUU
RNAcentral lists this ribosomal RNA (460 nucleotides) under uncultured bacterium. RNAcentral describes it as "bacterial SSU rRNA". It matches the Rfam family "Bacterial small subunit ribosomal RNA", at positions 29 to 471 of the family's 1533-position model. The record is from RNAcentral.